AACGCACAUUGCGCCCGCCAGCAUUCUGGCGGGCAUGCCUGUUCGAGCGUCAUUUCAACCCUCAAGCCCGGCUUGGUGUUGGGGCCCUACGGUCGACGUAGGCCCUUAAAGGUAGUGGCGGACCCUCCCGGAGCCUCCUUUGCGUAGUAACUUAACGUCUCGCACUGGGAUCCGGAGGGACUCUUGCCGUAAAACCCCCAAAACUUUUACAGGUUGACCUCGGAUCAGGUAGGAAUACCCGCUGAACUUAA
This 251-nucleotide unclassified non-coding RNA is filed under the name uncultured fungus. RNAcentral's name for it is "partial contains 5.8S ribosomal RNA, internal transcribed spacer 2, and large subunit ribosomal RNA". RNAcentral also lists the same sequence under 1 other name. The record is from RNAcentral. Lineage: Eukaryota; Fungi.